This 520-nucleotide ribosomal RNA is filed under the name uncultured Glomus. RNAcentral describes it as "SSU rRNA". It matches the Rfam family "Eukaryotic small subunit ribosomal RNA", at positions 569 to 1092 of the family's 1831-position model. The record is from RNAcentral. Lineage: Eukaryota; Fungi; Glomeromycota; Glomeromycetes; Glomerales; Glomeraceae.
AGCAGCCGCGGUAAUUCCAGCUCCAAUAGCGUAUAUUAAAGUUGUUGCAGUUAAAAAGCUCGUAGUUGAAUUUCGGGGUUAGUAAGUUGGUCAUGCCUUCGGUAUGUACUGGCUUUACUGAUUCCUCCUUCUUGACGAACCGUGAUGUCAUUAAUUUGGUGUUGCGGGAAAUCAGGACUGUUACUUUGAAAAAAUUAGAGUGUUUAAAGCAGGCUAACGCUUGAAUACAUUAGCAUGGAAUAAUGAAAUAGGACGUUAAUCCUAUUUUGUUGGUUUCUAGGAUCGACGUAAUGAUUAAUAGGGAUAGUUGGGGGCAUUAGUAUUCAAUUGUCAGAGGUGAAAUUCUUGGAUUUAUUGAAGACUAACUACUGCGAAAGCAUUUGCCAAGGAUGUUUUCAUUAAUCAAGAACGAAAGUUAGGGGAUCGAAGACGAUCAGAUACCGUCGUAGUCUUAACCAUAAACUAUGCCGACUAGGGAUCGGAUGAUGUUAAUUUUUAAUGACUCAUUCGGCGCCUUACG